AUUGAACGCUGGCGGCAGGCCUAACACAUGCAAGUCGAACGGCAGCACAGAAGAGCUUGCUCUUUGGGUGGCGAGUGGCGGACGGGUGAGUAAUGUCUGGGAAACUGCCCGAUGGAGGGGGAUAACUACUGGAAACGGUAGCUAAUACCGCAUAACGUCGCGAGACCAAAGUGGGGGACCUUCGGGCCUCACACCAUCGGAUGUGCCCAGAUGGGAUUAGCUAGUAGGUGGGGUAAUGGCUAACCUAGGGGACGAUCCCUAGCUGGUCUGAGAGGAUGAGCAGCCACACUGGAACUGAGACACGGUCCAGACUCCUACGGGAGGCAGAAGUGGGGAAUAUUGCACAAUGGGCGCAAGCCUGAUGCAGCCAUGCCGCGUGUAUGAAGAAGGCCUUCGGGUUGUAAAGUACUUUCAGCGGGGAGGAAGGCGGUGAGGUUAAUAACCUUGCCGAUUGACGUUACCCGCAGAAGAAGCACCGGCUAACUCCGUGCCAGCCGCCGCGGUAA
Molecule: ribosomal RNA, 506 nt
Filed under: uncultured bacterium
Lineage: Bacteria
Description: partial 16S ribosomal RNA
Rfam family: Bacterial small subunit ribosomal RNA
Source: RNAcentral